RNAcentral lists this ribosomal RNA (433 nucleotides) under Rhizobiaceae bacterium BAS330i. RNAcentral's name for it is "bacterial SSU rRNA". It matches the Rfam family "Bacterial small subunit ribosomal RNA", at positions 18 to 498 of the family's 1533-position model. The record is from RNAcentral. Lineage: Bacteria; Pseudomonadati; Pseudomonadota; Alphaproteobacteria; Hyphomicrobiales; Rhizobiaceae.
UUCCGCUCAGAACGAACGCUGGCGGCAGGCUUAACACAUGCAAGUCGAACGCCCCGCAAGGGGAGUGGCAGACGGGUGAGUAACGCGUGGGAAUCUACCGUACCCUACGGAAUAACGCAUGGAAACGUGUGCUAAUACCGUAUACGCCCUACGGGGGAAAGAUUUAUCGGGGUAUGAUGAGCCCGCGUUGGAUUAGCUAGUUGGUGGGGUAAAGGCCUACCAAGGCGACGAUCCAUAGCUGGUCUGAGAGGAUGAUCAGCCACAUUGGGACUGAGACACGGCCCAAACUCCUACGGGAGGCAGCAGUGGGGAAUAUUGGACAAUGGGCGCAAGCCUGAUCCAGCCAUGCCGCGUGAGUGAUGAAGGUCUUAGGAUUGUAAAGCUCUUUCACCGAUGAAGAUAAUGACGGUAGUUCGAGGAAGAAGCCCCGACA